CUGGAGGUAUCAGAAGUGCGAAUGCUGACAUAAGUAACGAUAAAGCGGGUGAAAAGCCCGCUCGCCGGAAGACCAAGGGUUCCUGUCCAACGUUAAUCGGGGCAGGGUGAGUCGACCCCUAAGGCGAGGCCGAAAGGCGUAGUCGAUGGGAAACGGGUUAAUAUUCCCGUACUUGGUGUUACUGCGAAGGGGGGACGGAGAAGGCUAUGUUGGCCGGGCGACGGUUGUCCCGGUUUAAGCGUGUAGGUGUGUGUUCCAGGUAAAUCCGGUUCACUUUAACACUGAGGCGUGACGACGAGGCACUACGGUGCUGAAGCAACAAAUGCCCUGCUUCCAGGAAAAGCCUCUAAGCAUCAGGUAACAUCAAAUCGUACCCCAAACCGACACAGGUGGUCAGGUAGAGAAUACCAAGGCGCUUGAGAGAACUCGGGUGAAGGAACUAGGCAAAAUGGUGCCGUAACUUCGGGAGAAGGCACGCUGACACGUAGGUGAAGUGAUUUACUCACGGAGCUGAAGUCAGUCGAAGAUACCAGCUGGCUGCAACUGUUUAUUAAAAACACAGCACUGUGCAAACACGAAAGUGGACGUAUACGGUGUGACGCCUGCCCGGUGCCGGAAGGUUAAUUGAUGGGGUCAGCGCAAGCGAAGCUCCUGAUCGAAGCCCCGGUAAACGGCGGCCGUAACUAUAACGGUCCUAAGGUAGCGAAAUUCCUUGUCGGGUAAGUUCCGACCUGCACGAAUGGCGUAAUGAUGGCCAGGCUGUCUCCACCCGAGACUCAGUGAAAUUGAACUCGCUGUGAAGAUGCAGUGUACCCGCGGCAAGACGGAAAGACCCCGUGAACCUUUACUAUAGCUUGACACUGAACAUUGAGCCUUGAUGUGUAGGAUAGGUGGGAGGCUUUGAAGUGUGGACGCCAGUCUGCAUGGAGCCGACCUUGAAAUACCACCCUUUAAUGUUUGAUGUUCUAACGUGGACCCGUGAUCCGGGUUGCGGACAGUGUCUGGUGGGUAGUUUGACUGGGGCGGUCUCCUCCUAAAGAGUAACGGAGGAGCACGAAGGUUGGCUAAUCCUGGUCGGACAUCAGGAGGUUAGUGCAAUGGCAUAAGCCAGCUUGACUGCGAGCGUGACGGCGCGAGCAGGUGCGAAAGCAGGUCAUAGUGAUCCGGUGGUUCUGAAUGGAAGGGCCAUCGCUCAACGGAUAAAAGGUACUCCGGGGAUAACAGGCUGAUACCGCCCAAGAGUUCAUAUCGACGGCGGUGUUUGGCACCUCGAUGUCGGCUCAUCACAUCCUGGGGCUGAAGUAGGUCCCAAGGGUAUGGCUGUUCGCCAUUUAAAGUGGUACGCGAGCUGGGUUUAGAACGUCGUGAGACAGUUCGGUCCCUAUCUGCCGUGGGCGCUGGAGAACUGAGGGGGGCUGCUCCUAGUACGAGAGGACCGGAGUGGACGCAUCACUGGUGUUCGGGUUGUCAUGCCAAUGGCACUGCCCGGUAGCUAAAUGCGGAAGAGAUAAGUGCUGAAAGCAUCUAAGCACGAAACUUGCCCCGAGAUGAGUUCUCCCUGAGACUUUAGGUCUCCUGAAGGAACGUUGAAGACGACGACGUUGAUAGGCCGGGUGUGUAAGCGCAGCGAUGCGUUGAGCUAACCGGUACUAAUGAACCGUGAGGCUUAACCUUACAACGCCGAAG
This 1686-nucleotide ribosomal RNA is filed under the name Salmonella enterica subsp. enterica serovar Kingston. RNAcentral describes it as "partial 23S ribosomal RNA". It matches the Rfam family "Bacterial large subunit ribosomal RNA", at positions 1273 to 2925 of the family's 2925-position model. The record is from RNAcentral. Lineage: Bacteria; Pseudomonadati; Pseudomonadota; Gammaproteobacteria; Enterobacterales; Enterobacteriaceae.